GGCCGCCGGUGGCGGCGGGCGGGAAUGGGUCUUGUCGCUGCGGCGUCCGGCGCGUUUUUUGCUGUGGCCGUCGUGCUUGCGUGCGGCCCGGCGGCCUGGUGGUACAGCCCCGGCAGCGCCAAGGGUCUGGCGUUUGCCAACGUUGUGUGAAGGAGAGUGGAACGAUCUGAGUCGUUGGAACACUCCAUAUAGUAGUUGCAGCCUCUCGUCUUAGCUUUGUCUGGUACAAGGGAACACCUGUAUUGCCAUGGAGGAUUGUUACACCAAUUCCCUGUACAGUCAGGAAACCUAAAACCUGUGAAAUCUUCACUUGGAUCCUGGGCCCAUGCCAGUCCUUGGGACUAGCACUGGCUGGUGAAGUGCUUCACCACUGCUUACUUCUGGACCCAGCCUUCAUGCCACCGUGAACCGAAUCUCUGGGACCAAUAAGCCACAUUGUGCAGGACACAGAUGCUGAUAUGAGAAACUGGAAUUUCUGCUCCAUCUGUGAAUCAGUACAGAAGACCAGUACAAGAGCCGGAACCUAAAAGAUCAACGUAGUUAUUCCUGCUAAGAGAAGCAGUAUUCCCAGUUAGCUCUUUGUGAACUUCUUGGACCAGGCACUACCACAGGUUUGGGUAUUAGUACAGAAGAACAGUAGGAAUGCUUGGAGGGAAACAGGCAGACUGCAGACAGAGAUGAACCAACCUUUUGUCCCGGGGCUCCAUCUUCUCCUGGAAGACCUGGCAGACCUGCCAGUCCUGAAGGGCCUGGUUCACCCUGACAUCCAUAAAAAGUGCAACUUUAAAAGCUUAGUGGGACCUUCACAUUUUUAUACCCGUUUGUGUGGGAUGCAUGGUAUUAUUCUGUCCAGAAUUCCAGGUAUGUGACAUACCAUACAGGACACUUCUAGACUUGCAAUCUUCUGAAGUUGUGAUGUUCUCAAUACCUGCACUGUUCUUAUGGUGACAGUUCAUCAAAUCAUCAAUGAUACCAAUGUAAAAUAUGAAUGCAUUGAUGUAUCUGAGAUAACUCCUAAAAAUAAAAAUUAACAGC
Long non-coding RNA from Strigops habroptila (Kakapo), 1035 nucleotides. RefSeq lists it as uncharacterized. The record is from RefSeq and is a predicted model, not a curated record. The transcript is spliced from 5 exons. Lineage: Eukaryota; Metazoa; Chordata; Aves; Psittaciformes; Psittacidae.